AGGACGAACGCUGGCGGCGUGCUUAACACAUGCAAGUCGAGCGGUAAGGCCUCUUCGGGGGUACACGAGCGGCGAACGGGUGAGUAACACGUGAGCAAUCUGCCCUUCACUUCGGGAUAAGCCUCGGAAACGGGGUCUAAUACCGGAUAUGACCGUGCCAUGCAUGUGGUGUGGUGGAAAGUUCUGGCGGUGGAGGAUGAGCUCGCGGCCUAUCAGCUUGUUGGUGGGGUAAUGGCCUACCAAGGCUUCGACGGGUAGCCGGCCUGAGAGGGUGACCGGCCACACUGGGACUGAGACACGGCCCAGACUCCUACGGGAGGCAGCAGUGGGGAAUAUUGGACAAUGGGCGAAAGCCUGAUCCAGCAACGCCGCGUGAGGGAUGACGGCCUUCGGGUUGUAAACCUCUUUCAGCGCCGACGAAGCGAGAGUGACGGUAGGCGCAGAGAAGCACCGGCAACGUACGUGCCAGCAGCCGC
RNAcentral lists this ribosomal RNA (476 nucleotides) under uncultured soil bacterium. RNAcentral's name for it is "bacterial SSU rRNA". It matches the Rfam family "Bacterial small subunit ribosomal RNA", at positions 26 to 518 of the family's 1533-position model. The record is from RNAcentral.